AGCCUAAAGAUUUUUAUUUUAGGUAAAUUCUGCUCAAUGAAUAUUAUUUAAAUAGCCGCAGUAAACUGACUGUGCAAAGGUAGCAUAAUAAAUUGGUCUUUAAUUGUGAUCUUGUAUGAAUGGAAAAAUAUAUAUUGUCUGUCUUAUUUUAUAAUAAAUAAAAAUUACUAAAAAGGUGAAAAUUCCUUUAACUAUAGUUGAAAGACGAGAAGACCCUUAGAAUUUUAAUUAGUAUUUAUAUAAUUUAUUUAUAAUUAUAUAUUUGUUGGGGCGACAGAUUACUCAUCUAAACAUAAUUUUAAUUUUUAACAAGGCAAAUUAUACUCAGAAUGUUUAAAUUACCUAAGGGAUAACAGCAUUAUAUUAUUUUUUAUGUUUAUGACCUCGAUGUUGGACUAGGAAAACACAUGGCAAGCAGUCAUUAUUUAAGGUUCUGUUCGAACUAUUUCUCCU
This 453-nucleotide ribosomal RNA is filed under the name Anguispira nimapuna. Its description in RNAcentral is "partial large subunit ribosomal RNA". The record is from RNAcentral. Lineage: Eukaryota; Metazoa; Mollusca; Gastropoda; Stylommatophora; Discidae.